GACGAACGCUGGCGGCGUGCCUAACACAUGCAAGUCGAGCGGGGACUUGUGGAAUGCGGCUUCGGCCAAAUGAAACAAGUUCUAGCGGCGGACGGGUGAGUAACGCGUGAGCAAUCUGCCUAUCACAGGGGAAUAACGCAUCGAAAGGUGUGCUAAUACCGCAUGAGACCACAACGGGGCAUCCCGAAGGGGUCAAAGAUUUAUCGGUGAUAGAUGAGCUCGCGUCUGAUUAGCUAGUUGGUGAGGUAACGGCCCACCAAGGCGACGAUCAGUAGCCGACCUGAGAGGGUGAUCGGCCACAUUGGGACUGAGACACGGCCCAAACUCCUACGGGAGGCAGCAGUGGGGAAUAUUGCACAAUGGGGGAAACCCUGAUGCAGCGACGCCGCGUGAGUGAUGAAGUAUUUCGGUAUGUAAAGCUCUAUCAGCAGGGAAGAAAAUGACGGUACCUGACUAAGAAGCACCGGCUAAAUACGUGCCAG
RNAcentral lists this ribosomal RNA (482 nucleotides) under uncultured bacterium. RNAcentral's name for it is "bacterial SSU rRNA". It matches the Rfam family "Bacterial small subunit ribosomal RNA", at positions 28 to 511 of the family's 1533-position model. The record is from RNAcentral.